Molecule: long non-coding RNA, 943 nt
Organism: Passer domesticus (house sparrow)
Lineage: Eukaryota; Metazoa; Chordata; Aves; Passeriformes; Passeridae
Exons: 3
Source: RefSeq, a predicted model, not a curated record
GUGUGCUCUGCGGCUCCGGGAGAUGCUCCGAGCUGAGCUCAGACCGCUCCGGUUUCCAAGGGAAUUUGUGCUGUUGUUGUUUUAUCCAUGCCUUUGGGGAUCACAGAUGUACCAGGGUGGGAAGAGCCCUCCAGGAUCAUCCAGUGCUAUCACCCCAAACCCUGUCCCCAAGGGCCACAUCCAGACUCCUCCUGAGCACUCCCACAGACAGUGACUCCAAACCUCCCUGGGCAGCUCAGCCCAAGGCCUGACCACUCUGCCAGGGAAAUUUUCUUUCCCAGUCUCCAACCUGAGCAUCCUCUGGUGCCAUUUGAGGCCAUUUCCUCUCCUCCUUUCCCUGCCCCUCCUGUCAGGGAAUUGUGCAGAGCAAUGAGGUCUCCCCUGAGCCUCCUUUUCUCCAGGCUGAGCCCCUUUCCAGCUCCCUCACAUUUCCUCAUCACAUCCAUGUUCUAGCCCUUUCCCAGCUGUGUUCCCUUCCCUGGACACGCUCCAGCCCCUCAAUGUCCUUUUUGAAAUGAAGAGCCCAAAACUGUGCACAAGACUUGAGUGUGGCCUCACCAGAGCACAGCAGGAAUGGGCACUCGGAUAGGCAAUUUUGGGCCAUGAGUACCUGUUAUUGUGUUUGCUUUCCCAAAUAACCUCGCUGGAGCCUGGAAGUGUUGCUGAAGCCUGUUAUGAAAAUUUGACAUGGUGGAAAUCAAACAGAUCAGCCUCAACUCCAGAGGUGGAAACUGCUCUUCAGGCUGCUGGGACAUCCUUGGGUCACACCCUGGGCUGAGCUGGGCACUGCCAGUACCUGUUUCAAAGCCCAUUGGGAUAAAAAUGAAAAAAAUGUGUAGAUAGUUGCAUUUUAUAUCCCUCAUGUAAUUAAAAUGGCAUUAUCUGGGGCCAUGAGGCAGCAGAGAAUCAGAAUAAUUUACCUGAAGAACAGUUUUGUUUUACU